Pan troglodytes (chimpanzee) is the source of this 2171-nucleotide long non-coding RNA. RefSeq lists it as uncharacterized. The transcript is spliced from 3 exons. NCBI's taxonomy places the organism in Eukaryota, Metazoa, Chordata, Mammalia, Primates, Hominidae. The record is from RefSeq and is a predicted model, not a curated record.
GGAUCCCUUAAGGCAGGAGCCUCUUCUGCUUCUCCACUGCUAAGCUCUGGAAUAAGUAACCUCCCUUUCUCUUUCCUGCAUGAUGUCUGCUGCCUUCAAUGCCUUGCUGUGUUGCUGGGGAUCUGCUCUGUUUAGACUUGGCUGCCAGUGGCACCAUUUUGGCGUUUAACACAUUUGUAUAUGUGGCACCAUUGGGGCUUUGGCACCAUUUGGACUUAGCUGCCUGUGGAGCUGUUUGGAACUGAGGUAAGGCAUUCAGGAUUUUACCUAGCCCCUUAACCAGGGUUUUGUUCAGAAGUGCACCAUUUGUUUGUAAGUGUGAGUGUUUGACCUUUGUGUGUGGAUCCUGAUUUCAUCCUUUCCUUUUCACUUCCAACUUCAUCUUCCUGAUUUAUCUUGCAAAGCCACCUACAUUGUUACUUCUCUCAGGCAAAUGUAUCUUUAGCUCCCUCCAGCUGGAAACAGUUCACUUCAACCAGUGACUUGUGGAGUGGGGAGGGAUUCAUCCUACAUUGUGCAGGUCUAGGGUACUUGGGCUCUCCCUGACAGGAGGUAAAUGAGAGUGGUGGGGGUACCAAACCCACACCAUGCAGGGGCUGGAAGGGUCACAAACCUCCUUCUCUUUCCUUCUCUUUCUCUUUCUCUCCUUUAAAACCCAGCUCCUUCACAGAAGCCUGCCAGGAACUUCAUAUUUUAAUUCUCUUUGGAAUUACAGCUGGUUACAUAUUAUGACGUAUUUUUGUGCACAUUUUUAAAUGAUGAGAAAAUUACAGCAAGAAAAAUUCAGAGCUCGAGUGGUAACCUGCAACUAGAAAGUUAAGCAGAGUGUUUUAAAGCUCUCCAUCUUCCUCUAAUUUCUAUUCUGCCUGCUUGAAAUCUAUUACUAACCUUCGGGUGCUGAGAUGAGACUCGUUAUUUGUGGUCCAACUAGAAUAUAAACAUUGGAAACUCAUCUGAAACUGAAAAAAAAAGAUAGAAGAGGUUAUAUAUAUAUAUAUAUAUUUUUUUUCAAACUGCCACAGAGACUGCUUUACCCAAAUUUUGGUUCACAGCUUUCAUUGGAUUAUAUAUUGGGGGCAAUCAAAAUUUAGCCAUAUAAACAGCUUCCAAUGUAAUCAAAGAAUAAUGUGGAUCCAGCUAUCUUUCAUAAAGUUGUGAGUUUGUAUUGUUAUCUGAUGGCUAGAAUUCUGAGGUAAAAGCUAUUGGGACCUUUGUUUGUGUGCGUAUACAUGUUUAGAUCUGUUCAUGUGUAUGUACAUGUAUUAUAUAUUGUAUCUAGCAUGCUACCAAAAGGAUUAUAAGUAAAUGAGUACAAUCUGCCAAGAUGGGCAGAUUACUUGAGGCCAGGAGUUCAAGACCAGCCUAGCCAACAUGACAAACACCCACCUCUACAAAAAAUGCUUUUUAAGUUCACAUGAAUUUAGUAAUCUUUGAUAAAUAAAACUGAUCUUAAGAUUAUUGGUGAAAUAAAAAUAGAAAUACCUUCAGAAUUGUCAGCACACAUUUUUGUCUGAGUUUAUUGACCAAAUGGUUUAUAUUUGUCACUGUCUAUAAAUAAAAGUAUUAGGCUUUAACAUAAAUGUCAUAAGCCUAUAAACCCACCAAAAAAAUAUUUGUGUGAUUUUUUUAAAUAAAUAAGACUAAUAUAAUAUUGUUAGUUUAAUAAAAAAUUAAAUCUUCUAAAUUAUCAACAAAAUGCCCAUAUGUUUAACUUUAAGGUUCUUACUUAAAUAAACACCUAAUGUGUACAGACUUUAAAAAUGGUUAACAGGGAACUAACUCUAAAUAAUGAUUACCUUUGUGUAAUAUCUCAGUUUUCAUAAGUAAUCUAGAUAAACUGUCAAAAGUUUAAAAUUUGAACAUGUAAAUAAAAUAAAUGCUUGCAGGCCAGGUGCAGUGGCUCACACCUGUAAUCCCAGCACUUUGGGAGGCCAAGGUAGGCUGAUCACUUGAGGCCAGGUGUUUGAGACCAGCCUGACCAACAUGGUGAAACCCCAUCUCUACUAAAAAUACAAAAAAAAAUUAGCCAGGCAUGGUGGUGCAUGCCUGUAGUCCUAGCUACUUGGGAGGCUGAGGCAGGAGAAUCACUGGAACCUGGAAGAUGGAGGUUGCAGUGAGCUGAGAUCACUCCACUUCACUCCAGCCUGGGUGACAGAGUAAGACUCCAUCUC